AUGGCUGCUAAGCCUUUGCAUCUGCUCUUCUACUCAACACUAGUCAUGCUUGUUUCCCUCCAAUUCCAAGCGUCAUCCGCCCAAACCAACAUCACAUCAAGGUUCCCCCUACUGGCUGCCGCCGGCGCCGGCUGGUCGUCCCCGUCGGGCCGCUUCUCCUUCGGCUUCUACGCCACGGACGGCGGCCUCGCCAUCGGCGUCUGGCUCGCCACCGCGCCCAACAUAACCGUCACGUGGACCGCGAACCGCAACAACACGCCGGACACGGGCGGCUCGCUGAGGCUCACCUACGACGGUCGUCUCAUCUGGAUCGGCGCGAGCAUCCAGGACAGGCCGGUGGCAGUCCCGCCCCGUCCGGCAGUCUCCGGCGCCAUGCUCGACGAUGGCAACUUCGUCCUGUACGGCGCGGACGCGUCGGUGGUGUGGUCGACGUUCGCGUCCCCGACCGACACCCUGCUCGCCGGUCAGGACCUCGUGCCCGGGGCGCAGCUCUUCUCCAGCGUGUCCGACACCAACAGGGCCACCGGGAAGUACCGGCUCACCAACCAGCAAAACGACGCAAACCUCGUGUUGUACCCGGUGGGCACGAGCAACGUGGCAGACGCGGCGUACUGGAGCACGGUGACCUUCCAGAUUGGCUUCCUCCUCACCCUGCGCCUGGAUGCCAGUGGCGUGCUCUACCAGGCCAACAGCAACGGCAGCUUCACCAGCAACCUGACGCGAUCUGGAUCCGCAAAAGCUGGGGCGGAGGCCUACUACCGUCUCACGCUUGACCCUGACGGAGUUCUGCGUCUGUACCACCACGCCUUCGUGUCCGGCGGUGCGUCAAAGGCCAGCGUCCAGUGGAGCACACCGAGCGAUCGGUGCCUUGUGAAGGGCGUUUGUGGGCUCAACAGCUACUGCGUCCUCGAUCACGACGGGCAGCCUAGCUGCUUGUGCCCGCCUGGGUUCGGUUUCCUCGACGCGACCAACACGGCGCUCGGUUGCACGGUGAACUCCAGCGCCGGCGAAUGCAGAGGGGGGCAGCAAGACGCCGCAAGCUUCUCCAUGGCACCCACGCUGAACAUGUCAUGGGUGAACGCGGCGUACGAGGUGAUGGGCGCGGGCACGAGCGCGGCCGACUGCCAAGCGGCGUGCCUGAGCGACUGCUUCUGCGCCGCGGUGCUAAGGGACGCCAACGACGGCACGUGCACGAAGCAGCAGCUCCCUCUGCGGUACGGCCGCGUGGGCGGCGCGUACACGCUGUCCGUCAAGACCGGGGGAGCGGCGAACCCGGCGUCGGGCGGCGGCGGCAGCGGCAGGGACACCCGCAACAAACCCGUCGGCGUCGGGCGCGCGACCACCAUCGCAUUGGUGUGCAUCGGCAUCCUAGCAUGCGUCGCGUUGUCCGCCUUCAUCGCCUCCGCGCGGCUGCUCCGGGUGAAGCGCCGGCACGUGGCGCUCGCGAACGCUGACGCCGGCGAGGGCUUGGAGGAGGAGACGGCGCCCCUGAGAUCGUACACCUACCAGGAGCUGGAGCGCGCGACGCACUGCUUCCGAGACCCGUUGGGCCGCGGCGCGUUCGGCACGGUGUUCAAAGGCGCGCUGCGCGACGGCGAGAAGGCCAUCGCCGUGAAGCGGCUGGAGAAGCUGGUGGAAGACGGCGAGCGGGAGUUCCAGAGAGAGGUGCGUGCCAUCGGGCGGACGAGCCACCGCAACCUGGUUCGCCUCCUGGGAUUCUGCCACGAGGGCGCAAACCGCCUCCUCGUCUACGAGUUCAUGAGCAACGGCUCGGUGGCAGACCUGCUCUUCAAGGGCGGCGCGCCGGCGUGGCCCGACCGCCUGGGCAUCGCGCUCGACGUGGCGCGGGGCCUGCACUACCUCCACGACGAGCUCGACAGCCGCGUGAUCCACUGCGACGUGAAGCCGCAGAACAUCCUCAUGGACGCGGCCGGCACGGCCAAGAUCGCCGACUUCGGACUGGCGAAGCUGCUCCAGCCCGACCAGACGCGCACUUUCACGGGCGUCCGCGGCACGCGCGGGUACCUGGCCCCCGAGUGGUACAGGGGCGCCGGGCCGGUCACGGUGAAGGCAGACGUGUACAGCUACGGCGUGGUGCUGCUCGAGAUCGUGACGUGCAGGAGGAGCAUGGAGAUGGAGGAGGCCGGCGAGGAGCGCACGCUGAUGGAGCUAGUGUACGAGUGCCUGCUGAGGGGUGAGGUGACGAGGGCCAUGAGCAGCGACGAGGUGGUCGACGCGGCGGCUGUGGAGCGGGCGGUGAAGGUUGGGAUCUGGUGCGUGCAAGGAGAGCCUGAGUCGAGGCCGUCCAUCAAGAGCGUCAUCUUGAUGCUGGAAGGACAUUUGGAGGUGCCAUUCCCACCGCCUCCCGCUUCGUAG
RNAcentral lists this ribosomal RNA (2376 nucleotides) under Triticum aestivum (bread wheat). Its description in RNAcentral is "partial small subunit ribosomal RNA". The record is from RNAcentral. Lineage: Eukaryota; Viridiplantae; Streptophyta; Magnoliopsida; Poales; Poaceae.